CCCUGUUUUGCAUUAGGCGUUUCACUUAUCAGCUACACUUGAGGUGUUAAGUUCUGUCACGAUAAGUUCACGCCUUAGCACCUGUUCAGCACGAUGUCACCUGUCGGGUUCCUGCUGAUUUUGGCUGUAGGUGUAGCGCAGGCUGCACUGACGGACUUGGCUAGUCUAAAGGAGCUGCUGAAUCAUGAUAAGUACACUUGCGACCCGGUAUGCGGAGAGGGGCAAUGUUGUACUCAUUACUACGCACCAAUACACGGCGGGAAGAGAGAAGUUCUCCCCGGCAACCUGCUACAACAAUCCCAGUGGCAAGGCAUGAUAAAGAGGUGCCAAUCUUUGAAACAACGAGGUGAAAAAUGUUUGACGCGCAACACUGGGGAGUGGUGCCCGUGUUCUCCUGGUCUGACGUGCAAAGCCGAUGGUACAAGCGGACUUGACGCCUUCUUCGGGAAAUGUGUGUAGAGGACAUCUGCGUUCUCAGAAGAAUGAGCGAUAUAAUCUACUAGAAUAUAUCAGAAUAAAACACUUUGACUUCAUAGAUCCAUUAA
Liolophura sinensis is the source of this 545-nucleotide long non-coding RNA. RefSeq lists it as uncharacterized. NCBI's taxonomy places the organism in Eukaryota, Metazoa, Mollusca, Polyplacophora, Chitonida, Chitonidae. The transcript has 2 exons. The record is from RefSeq and is a predicted model, not a curated record.